GUGGUUCUGGUAUGAACAAGUUCCUUAUAUUCAAUUUAUCCAUCUGAUCACUUUGUCAGCUAUGUUUUUGAAUAUAUAGGUGAUCAUUAUAGUGUGGAAUAAUU
Lupinus angustifolius (narrow-leaved blue lupine) is the source of this 104-nucleotide small nucleolar RNA. It matches the Rfam family "Small nucleolar RNA snoR99". NCBI's taxonomy places the organism in Eukaryota, Viridiplantae, Streptophyta, Magnoliopsida, Fabales, Fabaceae. The record is from Rfam.